Pectinophora gossypiella (pink bollworm) is the source of this 1084-nucleotide RNA transcript. RefSeq lists it as uncharacterized. Lineage: Eukaryota; Metazoa; Arthropoda; Insecta; Lepidoptera; Gelechiidae. The record is from RefSeq and is a predicted model, not a curated record. The transcript is spliced from 4 exons.
CCAUCCUUUUAUUUCCUAUCUUUCUAUCCUAGUUUCCGUCUUUACUUGUGCGAACAGAAUAGGCAUUUCUAGUGUCCCUAUCGUUCAAACUAAUAUCUCUAGUUUUCUAUUUCUUUUCUUUUUAUUAACAAGUCAAGUCUAGUAUUCCCUAUCAAAAGUUGUGCGUAAUCAUUUUAUCAUUGCAAGUCUAGUUUCGAUUUCGCACGCUCAUUGAUUAGGGCCAAUUAUUUCUAUUGAAUACCUACUGUCUAGUAUGCAGCUCAGGUUCAAUUGCCACUGUCUAGUCAUGCAGGGCAAUCCAGUGUUUUAGACCAAGUUUCGUUUAUUACUGUCAAGCUAUACAGUAUAAACAAGAUCAAGUAUAAGCCUACUGUCUAGUUAUGCAGUAGGCACAAGCUAGUAUUCCUAGUUCUAGUUAGGUUCUCUUAUUAUUGUCUAGUAUGCAAUACAAGUGACCAAAUAUUUCUAAUUUUCAAGUCUAGUUUCUCUUGUUAUUGUCGAGUAUGCAAUACAAGUGCUUAUAUGCCUAUCUAGGUAAUUAUUAAUUAAUCACAAGUCUAGUUCUAGUGCAUCCUUAUUACAAGUCUAGUUAAGUACGUGAUCCUAGGCAAGUCUAGUGAAAUUAGGUGCGUACAUACGCUUAUCUGAUAAGGAUUGUCAUACAAGUUCAAGUUUUACCUAAUCCAGUAAAUUUCGAACAAGUCAAUCGAGGUCUGCAUUGUUUCGUCUGCAAGGGCAAGCAUAGAAUAUACGACUGUCCAGCGUUCCUGUCCAUGAGCAUCGAGGAGCGGAUACAAAAGGCUAGUUCACUGAAGCUCUGUCUGAACUGUCUGCGGAGCGGCCAUAUUGCAGGCGCUUGCAGGUCCAAGUGUGUCCAUCUCGAGGCGGUGAGUGAAUUGUCGAGAGACGCAUUCAUGUUAACACUGCGUAGGUUUAUCGCUCGCAGGGAGAUCUGAGACCUGGUGACUUGGUGCUCAUCAAGGAGGACAACACGUCACCACUCCAGUGGCGCUUGGGUCGUGUACAACAACUCUUCCCGGGCGCAGACGGCAUUCCGCGCGUCGCUGACGUGGCUACCGCCAGG